CAGAUGGCCCCAAGCAUCGUGCUGAAGUGCUGUCUAGUGACCCUAAGCUCAGGAAGGAUGCGAUGUGCCUUAUGGAGAAAACACGUGUAUUAGGUGCCUCUCAGAGAGUUUAGAACAGUGCUGUAGAUCCAGACCCACAGAAGCGUACGUGAUUCAUUCCACGCUGAAAAAGGCCUUGGAGACCCGCUCACCAACCCUGCGUUUUACAGUGCUCACCAUCCAGAUCAAGGUAUGGAAUAUUAGCAGUGCCUCAGGAGUCUCCUUUGUACCAUCUCCCGAUCAUUACGCUCCGAAAGUAACCAAUAUCCUGACUGAGCACUAUCAAUUAAUUUUGUCUGACUCUGAAUUUCAUGUGAAUGGGAUCGUAGAGAACUGUACCUUUCCAUGUCUGACUUCUUUCCGUCACACUACAUCUGUGAGACUUAUCCAUGGCCUUGCACCGACAGUCAUC
RNAcentral lists this long non-coding RNA (451 nucleotides) under Equus caballus (horse). Its description in RNAcentral is "lncRNA (ENSECAG00000053099.1)". The record is from RNAcentral. Lineage: Eukaryota; Metazoa; Chordata; Mammalia; Perissodactyla; Equidae.